GGAAUUUUCCGCAAUGGGCGAAAGCCUGACGGAGCAACGCCGCGUGAGGGAUGAAGGCCUCUGGGCUGUAAACCUCUUUUAUCAAGGAAGAAGAUCUGACGGUACUUGAUGAAUAAGCCACGGCUAAUUCCGUGCCAGCAGCCGCGGUAAUACGGGAGUGGCAAGCGUUAUCCGGAAUUAUUGGGCGUAAAGCGUCCGCAGGCGGUCUUUUAAGUCUGUCGUCAAAGCGUGGAGCUUAACUCCAUUACUGCGAUGGAAACUGGGAGACUAGAGUGUGGUAGGGGCAGAGGGAAUUCCCGGUGUAGCGGUGAAAUGCGUAGAUAUCGGGAAGAACACCAGUGGCGAAGGCGCUCUGCUGGGCCAUAACUGACGCUCAUGGACGAAAGCCAGGGGAGCGAAAGGGAUUAGAUACCCCUGUAGUCCUGGCCGUAAACGAUGAACACUAGGUGUCGGGGGAAUCGACCCCCUCGGUGUCGUAGCCAACGCGUUAAGUGUUCCGCCUGGGGAGUACGCACGCAAGUGUGAAACUCAAAGGAAUUGACGG
This 544-nucleotide ribosomal RNA is filed under the name uncultured bacterium. Its description in RNAcentral is "bacterial SSU rRNA". It matches the Rfam family "Bacterial small subunit ribosomal RNA", at positions 358 to 916 of the family's 1533-position model. The record is from RNAcentral.